AGAGUUUGAUCCUGGCUCAGGAUGAACGCUGGCGGUCUGCUUAACACAUGCAAGUCGAACGGAGUAGAAAUACUUAGUGGCGGACGGGUGAGUAACGCGUGAGAAUCUGCCUUCAGGACGGAGACAACAGUUGGAAACGACUGCUAAGCCCCGAUGAACCGAAAGGGAAAAUAUUUAUAGCCUGAAGAUGAGCUCGCGUCCGAUUAGCUAGUUGGGGGGGUAAAGGCCCACCAAGGCGACGAUCGGUAGCUGGUCUGAGAGGACGAUCAGCCACACUGGGACUGAGACACGGCCCAGACUCCUACGGGAGGCAGCAGUGGGGAAUUUUCCGCAAUGGGCGAAAGCCUGACGGAGCAAGACCGCGUGGGGGAAGAAGGCUCUUGGGUUGUAAACCCCUUUUCUCUGGGAAGAAAGUUGUGAAAGCAACCUGACGGUACCAGAGGAAUCAGCAUCGGCUAACUCUGUGCCAGCAGCCGCGGUAAGACGGAGGAUGCAAGCGUUAUCCGGAAUGAUUGGGCGUAAAGCGUCCGCAGGUGGCAGUUCAAGUCUGCUGUCAAAGACCGGGGCUUAACUUCGGAAAGGCAGUGGAAACUGAACAGCUAGAGUAUGGUAGGGGCAGAGGGAAUUCCUGGUGUAGCGGUGAAAUGCGUAGAGAUCAGGAAGAACAUCGGUGGCGAAGGGCUCUGCUGGACCAUAACUGACACUCAGGGACGAAAGCUAGGGGAGCGAAUGGGAUUAGAUACCCUAGUAGUCC
Molecule: ribosomal RNA, 754 nt
Filed under: uncultured bacterium
Lineage: Bacteria
Description: bacterial SSU rRNA
Rfam family: Bacterial small subunit ribosomal RNA
Source: RNAcentral